GGGGCUCCUGCGUCGGGCCGGGGACUUCAUCCGGAACCAGGUGGAUUUCUCCUUCCUCACCCGGGCUCUGCCCCAGCUCCUGGGCAAGAUCUACAGGCACCUCUUCCCUGCCCGUGUCCGUAGGGACGCCCCAGGUACCCACCCGCCCCGGCUGUGCCACCCCGUGGCCCUGUGGGGACGCGCCACCCUCGUGCUGGUGGCUCAGGCACCCCUACGCCGUGUCCCUCCUGUCCCCUUCUUGUCCCCACAGACGUGGCUGUGGGAGGGGGGCAGCCUAACCCCAAAGCAGAGGGACCCUGGAGACCCCCCACCAGGUAAAGGGGGACGCAAGGGCAUGGUGGGUUAUGGGGGCUGUAGGUUUUGGGGAGGCGAGCGAGAUACCCAUGGGCACUGAUAGGGCUUUUUGGGGACAGCUCAAGGCAUUGGGGUCCUGCUCUUCCCAUAACCAGGUCCCAACAGGGGUGUACGGGGGGUGGCAGUGCCCAAGGGAUGGGUGCCUGGCUGAGCUGUCCCCGCUGUGCUUGCAGGCAGGGGGCCGGGCAGCCGCCCCCAUUUGCGGGGCUCUUUGGGGCCGUGGGGCCCCAGCUGCAGGACUGGGUGCAGGCGCUGAGGGCUAUGGAUGGGGGCAGCCCCCUGGAACCCACCCCAGAUGGGCAGCGGCUCCCCGGGGAGACGUGGCUCUUCUUGCAGGUAUUUGGAGAGGGAUGGGAUGGGAUGGGAUGGGAUGGGAUGGGAUGGGAUGGGAUGGGAUGGGAUGGGAUGGGAUGGGAUGGGAUGGGAUGGGAUGGGAUGGGAUGGGAUGGGAUGGGGGGAACCCCUGCCGCUCCGGUGACAGUGCCAGCAAGGACCAAACCCCACUGCCUGCCCUGUUCCCUUUCCCUUCCCCGCAGCAGGGUGAGGAGGAGGUGGAGGAGCUGGUGGGACAGGGCAGAGCUUUCCUCGCCCAGCUCCGGGCAGAGCUGGACCUCGACACCCCCCUGGAAGCCACGCAGCAGCAGCAGGCACCCGGAGAGCCAUCGGGGACCCCGACACCAAACCGGUUGGUGCCGAGGGAGAAACGUGAGCUGGUGCCCACACAGCCUGGGCUGGAGGAGGAGGAGGAAGAAGAGGAAGAGGAGGAAGAGGAGGAGGAGGCAGGUGAGGGAAGAGCCUGCCCUGGCCUCAACGCCUCGGCGCUGCGGGUGGGCGCGGUGCAGGAGCUUUACGCCUGGGUGCUGCGGGUGCCGGAGCCGGACCUGGCCAUGACCUUCCAGGAGGUGCGUGGGGCAGCCACCCCCCCCGGCGC
This 1285-nucleotide long non-coding RNA is filed under the name Anas platyrhynchos platyrhynchos (common mallard). Its description in RNAcentral is "lncRNA (ENSAPLG00000028361.1)". Lineage: Eukaryota; Metazoa; Chordata; Aves; Anseriformes; Anatidae. The record is from RNAcentral.